RNAcentral lists this ribosomal RNA (1521 nucleotides) under uncultured bacterium. RNAcentral's name for it is "bacterial SSU rRNA". It matches the Rfam family "Bacterial small subunit ribosomal RNA". The record is from RNAcentral.
AGAGUUUGAUCCUGGCUCAGGACUAACGUUGGCGGCGUGCCUAAUACAUGCAAGUCGAACGGGACUACCGUAGCAAUAUUGUAAUUUAGUGGCAAACAGGUGAGUAAUGCAUGGGUAACAUUCCGUGAAGGCGGGGACAACUAUCCGAAAGGAUAGCUAAUACCGGAUGUGAUUGCAGGAACCCAAGUUUCUGCAAUUAAAGGAUGGCCUCUAUUUAUAAGCUAUCGCUUCGCGAUUGGCCCAUGUUCCAUCAGCUAGUUGGUAGGGUAAAGGCCUACCAAGGCGACUACGGAUAGCCGGACUGAGAGGUUGUACGGCCACACUGGGACUGCGACACGGCCCAGACUCCUACGGGAGGCAGCAGUAGGGAAUUUUCCUCAAUGCCCGCAAGGGUGAAGGAGCGACGCCGCGUGCAGGAUGAAGGUCUUCGGAUUGUAAACUGCUUUUGUUUGGGAAUAAGGCAGGGGAGUGAAUAAUUCCUCUGUUUGACGGUACCAAAUGAAUAAGCUACGGCUAACUCUGUGCCAGCAGCCGCGGUAAUACAGAGGUAGCAAACGUUGUCCGGAUUCACUGGGCGUAAAGGGCUUGUAGGCUGUCUUAUAAGUCAGAUGUGAAAUCGUUCAGCUCAACUGAACAAUUGCAUUUGAUACUGUAAGGCUUGAGUGCAGAAGGGGAACAUGGAAUUUCCGGUGUAGCGGUGAAAUGCGUAGAUAUCGGAAAGAACACCUGUGGCGAAGGCGGUGUUCUGGUCUGCAACUGACGCUGAGGAGCGAAAGCCAGGGGAGCAAACGGGAUUAGAUACCCCGGUAGUCCUGGCCUUAAACGAUGUAUACUAGGUGUGGGAGAUUCAUUUCUUCCGUGCCGACGGCAACCCAUUAAGUAUACCGCCUGGGGACUACGAUCGCAAGAUUGAAACUCAAAGAAAUUGACGGGGAUCCGCACAAGUGGUGGAGCAUGUGGUUUAAUUCGACGCUACGCGAAGAACCUUACCUGGGCUUGACAUACAUGUGUAAGACUUAUGAAAGUAGGUCCCUCUGCCAGCAAUGGUAGACGCAUGACCAGGUGUUGCAUGGUUGUCGUCAGCUCGUGCCGUGAGGUGUUGGGUUAAGUCCUCUAACGAGCGCAACCCCUAUUGCCAGUUGCCAUCAUUCAGUUGGGAACUCUGGCGAGACUGCCCGGGAUAACCGGGAGGAAGGCGGGGAUGACGUCAAAUCGUCAUGGCCCUUAUGUCCAGGGCGACCCACGUGCUACAAUGGCGUAUACAAAGGGUAGCAAUACCGUGAGGUGGAGCCAAUCCCAAAAAGUACGCCCUAGUUCGGAUUGGAGUCUGCAACUUGACUCCAUGAAGCUGGAAUCACUAGUAAUCGCGGGUCAGCCACACCGCGGUGAAUACGUUCCCGGGUCUUGUACACACCGCCCGUCACGCCACGAAAGUUUUUUGUACCAGAAGACGCUGAUGCAACCGCAAGGAGCUAGGCGGCCAAGGUAUGAAAGAUGAUUGGGGCGAAGUCGUAACAAGGU